CUCAAUCACAGCUCAUUGCAGCCUUGACCGCCCAGGCUCAAGUGAUCCUCCUGCCUCAGCCUCCUGAGUAGCCGAACUACAGGUAUCUAGAAGAAAUGAAAGAAAAUACAAUAUUUCAGCUCACGAACUUUCAAGAGAUCAGAUUCUGGUUGAAGAUGGCAGUUGAUCACAUGAAGUUAUCUCCUCUCCCACCUAAGACCCCACUAAAAUUAAAAGAUAACUUAUUCCACAGAGCAAAAACUGAAGAAUCCCUGAAAAAAGAUGGCCCUCAAG
Gorilla gorilla gorilla (western lowland gorilla) is the source of this 273-nucleotide long non-coding RNA. RefSeq lists it as uncharacterized. The transcript has 3 exons. NCBI's taxonomy places the organism in Eukaryota, Metazoa, Chordata, Mammalia, Primates, Hominidae. The record is from RefSeq and is a predicted model, not a curated record.